This 401-nucleotide ribosomal RNA is filed under the name Eophreatoicus korokoro. RNAcentral describes it as "partial 16S ribosomal RNA". It matches the Rfam family "Bacterial large subunit ribosomal RNA", at positions 1926 to 2556 of the family's 2925-position model. The record is from RNAcentral. Lineage: Eukaryota; Metazoa; Arthropoda; Malacostraca; Isopoda; Amphisopidae.
AAGAGCCGCAGUACACUGACUGUGCAAAGGUAGCAAAAUAAUUUGUCUCCUAAUUAGAGACUAGAAUGAAUGGUCUGACGAGGAAAAAUCUAUCUCAAACCUAAAUUUUAAAUUGACAUUUAAGUAAAAAGGCUUAAAUAAUCCAGCAAGACGACAAGACCCUAUAAAACUUUACCUUUUAUUUUAACCAAUUCUAAGAAAUAUAAUUUUAAGGGUUUAACUGGGGCGGUAUUUAUAUAAUUCUAAACUAUACAAACCUCACCAUAUAUAAAUGAAUAAAUAAAUCUCUCAUAAGACAUAACAAAAGUUACUUUAGGGAUAACAGCAUAAUACUCUUAAAGAGCCCAAAUCGACAAGAGUGAUUAUGACCUCGAUGUUGAAUUGGAAAACCAUCUAAAAGC